GGGGGGAUGGUGUAGUGGCAUAGCACUUGGUAUGACUGUGACUACUAGAGUGAGCGGGCUCGAAUCCCGCUCCCCCUA
This 78-nucleotide transfer RNA is filed under the name Nilaparvata lugens yeast-like symbiont. RNAcentral's name for it is "tRNA-His (GTG) (tRNA-His-GTG-2-1)". It matches the Rfam family "tRNA". Rfam says of the family: Transfer RNA (tRNA) molecules are approximately 80 nucleotides in length. Their secondary structure includes four short double-helical elements and three loops (D, anti-codon, and T loops). Further hydrogen bonds mediate the characteristic L-shaped molecular structure. tRNAs have two regions of fundamental functional importance: the anti-codon, which is responsible for specific mRNA codon recognition, and the 3' end, to which the tRNAs corresponding amino acid is attached (by aminoacyl-tRNA synthetases). tRNAs cope with the degeneracy of the genetic code in two manners: having more than one tRNA (with a specific anti-codon) for a particular amino acid; and 'wobble' base-pairing, i.e. permitting non-standard base-pairing at the 3rd anti-codon position. Lineage: Eukaryota; Fungi; Ascomycota. The record is from RNAcentral.